Non-coding RNA from Schistosoma mansoni, 49 nucleotides. Lineage: Eukaryota; Metazoa; Platyhelminthes; Trematoda; Strigeidida; Schistosomatidae. The record is from Rfam.
GCACUGCUGAGGAGGAGUCCCACAAUAGGACGAAACGGUCGUCCAGUGC